AGUGAACGCUGGCGGUAUGCCUAAUACAUGCAAGUCGAACGGCAGCACAGUAAGAGCUUGCUCUUACGGGUGGCGAGUGGCGGACGGGUGAGGAAUACAUCGGAAUCUACUUUUUCGUGGGGGAUAACGUAGGGAAACUGACGCUAAUACCUCAUACGACCUACGGGUGAAAGCAGGGGAUCUUCGGACCUUGCGCGAUUGAAUGAGCCGAUGUCGGAUUAGCUAGUUGGCGGGGUAAAGGCCCACCAAGGCGACGAUCCGUAGCUGGUCUGAGAGGAUGAUCAGCCACACUGGAACUGAGACACGGUCCAGACUCCUACGGGAGGCAGCAGUGGGGAAUAUUGGACAAUGGGCGCAAGUCUGAUCCAGCCAUACCGCGUGGGUGAAGAAGGCCUUCGGGUUGUAAAGCCCUUUUGUUGGGAAAGAAAAGCAGCAGGUUAAUACCCCGCUGUUCUGACGGUACCCAAAGAAUAAGCACCGGCUAACUUCGUG
This 492-nucleotide ribosomal RNA is filed under the name uncultured bacterium. RNAcentral's name for it is "partial 16S ribosomal RNA". It matches the Rfam family "Bacterial small subunit ribosomal RNA", at positions 29 to 507 of the family's 1533-position model. The record is from RNAcentral.